Molecule: ribosomal RNA, 250 nt
Filed under: uncultured bacterium
Lineage: Bacteria
Description: partial 16S ribosomal RNA
Rfam family: Bacterial small subunit ribosomal RNA
Source: RNAcentral
UACAGAGGGUGCAAGCGUUGUUCGGAAUUACUGGGCGUAAAGCGCGUGUAGGCUGCAAUGUAAGUCGGAUGUGAAAGCCCUUGGCUUAACCAAGGAAGUGCAUCCGAUACUGCAUCGCUUGAGUGUCGGAGGGGAUGGCGGAAUUCCCGGUGUAGAGGUGAAAUUCGUAGAUAUCGGGAGGAACACCUGUGGCGAAGGCGGCCAUCUGGACGAUAACUGACGCUGAGACGCGAAAGCGUGGGUAGCAAAC